This 270-nucleotide long non-coding RNA is filed under the name Elaeis guineensis (African oil palm). Its description in RNAcentral is "long non-coding RNA (EGUI_LNC068923)". The record is from RNAcentral. Lineage: Eukaryota; Viridiplantae; Streptophyta; Magnoliopsida; Arecales; Arecaceae.
CUCUUCAUAAUUGGCAUUAACUUGAGAUGUGGCACCCCUAUUUAGGCUACUUUUAGGUGGCAAGACCUGACUCAAAUGCUCACAAAAUUGGGCUAGCCAAUUAGCAAGGGAUGAGACUAAAUUGAUCUCCAAAGGAGCUAGGAUUUCCACACGUGCUAGCAUGGUUAUCGAGAAUCCUGAUUGAAUCUAAAAUUCCAAUUAAGCUUAUUAAAAGGAUCUUUGGCCAAUUUCUAUAUGUGUGUGACCCAUUAGAUUUUACAUCUAGCCAGC